This 422-nucleotide ribosomal RNA is filed under the name uncultured bacterium. RNAcentral describes it as "bacterial SSU rRNA". It matches the Rfam family "Bacterial small subunit ribosomal RNA", at positions 355 to 774 of the family's 1533-position model. The record is from RNAcentral.
UAAGGAAUAUUGGUCAAUGGACGCAAGUCUGAACCAGCCAUGCCGCGUGGAGGAUGAAGGCCCUCUGGGUUGUAAACUUCUUUUAUAUGGGACGAAAAAGGGUCUUUCUAGAUCAACUGACGGUACCAUGUGAAUAAGCACCGGCUAACUCCGUGCCAGCAGCCGCGGUAAUACGGAGGGUGCAAGCGUUAUCCGGAUUUACUGGGUUUAAAGGGUGCGUAGGUGGGUCUGUAAGUCAGUGGUGAAAUCUUCGAGCUUAACUCGGAAACUGCCAUUGAUACUAUAGGUCUUGAAUCAUCUGGAGGUGAGCGGAAUAUGUCAUGUAGCGGUGAAAUGCUUAGAUAUGACAUAGAACACCGAUGGCGAAGGCAGCCUCCUGGGCCAGUACUGACGCUCAUGCACGAAAGCGUGGGGAGCAAACA